GAUGAACGCUGGCGGCGUGCCUAAUACAUGCAAGUCGAGCGAACGGACGAGAAGCUUGCUUCUCUGAUGUUAGCGGCGGACGGGUGAGUAACACGUGGAUAACCUACCUAUAAGACUGGGAUAACUUCGGGAAACCGGAGCUAAUACCGGAUGAUAUUUUGAACCGCAUGGUUCAAAAGCGAAAGACGGUCUUGCUGUCACUUAUAGAUGGAUCCGCGCUGCAUUAGCUAGUUGGUAAGGUAACGGCUUACCAAGGCAACGAUGCAUAGCCGACCUGAGAGGGUGAUCGGCCACCCUGGAACUGAGACACGGUACAGACUCCUACGGGAGGCAGCAGUAGGGAAUCUUCCGCAAUGGGCGAAAGCCUGACGGAGCAACGCCGCGUGAGUGAUGAAGGUCUUCGGAUCGUAAAACUCUGUUAUUAGGGAAGAACAUAUGUGUAAGUAACUGUGCACAUCUUGACGGUACCUAAUCAGAAAGCCACGGCUAACUACGUG
This 497-nucleotide ribosomal RNA is filed under the name uncultured bacterium. Its description in RNAcentral is "partial 16S ribosomal RNA". It matches the Rfam family "Bacterial small subunit ribosomal RNA", at positions 28 to 507 of the family's 1533-position model. The record is from RNAcentral.